RNAcentral lists this long non-coding RNA (676 nucleotides) under Bos grunniens (domestic yak). RNAcentral describes it as "lncRNA (ENSBGRG00000015489.1)". Lineage: Eukaryota; Metazoa; Chordata; Mammalia; Artiodactyla; Bovidae. The record is from RNAcentral.
AAGAGUAUCACUUCCCAUUUGGACUGUAAAAGAGGGCUCCAUGAGCAUGGAAAUAGUCUUUACUUCAGAGAAGCUGAGUUGUUGUAUUUCCCUGAGGCAGCAAAUUCAUUUGCAAACACAAAGGCUCAGGGAAAUUUGCGCCCUAUUACACAGUCUCCAAAUAUUCCAGACUUGCUAAGACUCCAGUCGAAAAGGGUCAAGGCAGUUCAUCAGAUUCCCUUCCUAAUUCUCAACUUCCAAAGCAAGUUCUUCCCAGAGCACAGACAAAGGAAGACUAUCUGGCUGCCUAGUCUACAGCCCUGAGGACAAAAGCAUCAUCAGUGACAAGGAGACGUCCUGCUGGGGAGUAAGAUUUUACCGAGACCCAGUUGAGGAGACAUAUGUGGGGAACUUGGAUCGUCUGAGACAAGCUGUCAAUGCCAGGCAAGCAGCGAUAUGCGAGCUUGUGACCUUCAGUACAGUCGCUCAGUCGUGUCUGACUCCUUGUGACCCCAUGGACUGCAGCACGCCAGGCUUCCCUGUCCAUCACCAACUCCCGGAGUUUGCUCAGACUCAUGACCAUCGAGUUGGUGAUGCCAUCCACAGUGAUGUGACCUUACUGUCCUCUUUAUAUCUCUUAAGAGUAGUACAGUAUAAAUGAAAAUAACAAAAAAAGAUAUUUUGUCAGAGUUCACUG